RNAcentral lists this long non-coding RNA (540 nucleotides) under Apteryx owenii (little spotted kiwi). Its description in RNAcentral is "lncRNA (ENSAOWG00000017363.1)". The record is from RNAcentral. Lineage: Eukaryota; Metazoa; Chordata; Aves; Apterygiformes; Apterygidae.
CCAGCCCUCGCUCGGGAGCGCUGGCAGCCGCCAGCCGGCCCUGCACGGGGAGCCGGCGAGCGUGUUGGAAGAGGAGAAGACAAACAACGCCGGGGAACCGGGUUACGGGAGGAAGGCAUUUGCUCGAGACUAAUUGAAUUUUCUGCCCGUGGAGAGAAAGACACGACACAGAGAACAGGUCCCUGUUCAUCUUCUGGCGGUGGCACGCGGAGGUUUGGUGCGCUACAUGUCCAUAAAAAGAGCUCCUGUUCCUGCAAGCAGCACCCUCAAGUCAGCCGCAAAGGCUGUGCAACCCCUUUGGUCCCUCCAGACCUCUCCAGGGAUGGGACCUCAGCGCCAGGCCCGCAGGGCUCAUGGGAGCAGGCGAAGUCCAGCAGCGCGUGGCACCAGCCCAGCAAACAGCCACCGCAGGGCUCUUUGCGGCCGAGCGGCCAGACCUGAGCCGUGAAGCCUGCUGGCGUUGUGCUCUCUGCACCAUCGCGCCGAGCUGCAGGAAGCCCCGGCGUCGGCCCGCUCACAGCUCAACUUGCCGGCUGCUCC